RNAcentral lists this transfer RNA (76 nucleotides) under Marmota monax (woodchuck). RNAcentral describes it as "tRNA.Gly". It matches the Rfam family "tRNA". Rfam says of the family: Transfer RNA (tRNA) molecules are approximately 80 nucleotides in length. Their secondary structure includes four short double-helical elements and three loops (D, anti-codon, and T loops). The record is from RNAcentral. Lineage: Eukaryota; Metazoa; Chordata; Mammalia; Rodentia; Sciuridae.
GGCAGGGAUAUAGCUCAGUUGGUAGAGUGCUUGCCUUCCAUGCACAAGGCCCUGGGUUCAAAACCCAGUACUGCCA